This 253-nucleotide ribosomal RNA is filed under the name uncultured bacterium. RNAcentral's name for it is "partial 16S ribosomal RNA". It matches the Rfam family "Bacterial small subunit ribosomal RNA", at positions 524 to 776 of the family's 1533-position model. The record is from RNAcentral.
UACGUAGGGCGCAAGCGUUGUCCGGAAUUACUGGGCGUAAAGGGCGCGUAGGCGGCCUACUAAGUCGGACGUGAAAUCCCUCGGCUCAACCGAGGAACUGCGUCCGAUACUGGCAGGCUGGAAUCCGGGAGAGGGAUGUGGAAUUCCAGGUGUAGCGGUGAAAUGCGUAGAUAUCUGGAGGAACACCGGUGGCGAAGGCGGCAUCCUGGACCGGUAUUGACGCUGAGGCGCGAAAGCUAGGGGAGCAAACGGG